UGUAGUAUAUGUUGGCUAUAAUAGGUUCAUUAUAGGAGUAGAGUACGUACUUAGAUAGAAUCUAUCGAUCGUAGUAGAUAAGAAGUAGUCCUAUAAAAUUUGAGAAGUUGAGUUCUUAAGUCUGUAGCCACAACAAGAUGAUCGAUGGAAAUAAGUUUUCAUUUAGAUUUGAGCUAAUCAAAUUUUUUAUAUGGUAGUUGAUGGGAUUUGAUAAGUUUUCAUAACCUUCAUCU
Molecule: long non-coding RNA, 233 nt
Filed under: Elaeis guineensis (African oil palm)
Lineage: Eukaryota; Viridiplantae; Streptophyta; Magnoliopsida; Arecales; Arecaceae
Description: long non-coding RNA (EGUI_LNC067568)
Source: RNAcentral